RNAcentral lists this non-coding RNA (21 nucleotides) under Caenorhabditis elegans. Lineage: Eukaryota; Metazoa; Nematoda; Chromadorea; Rhabditida; Rhabditidae. The record is from RNAcentral.
UCAUACUUUUAUUUAUGAAAA